Molecule: transfer RNA, 68 nt
Filed under: Marmota monax (woodchuck)
Lineage: Eukaryota; Metazoa; Chordata; Mammalia; Rodentia; Sciuridae
Description: tRNA.Ala
Source: RNAcentral
GGUUUGUGGCUCAGUGGUAGAGUGUUUGCUUAGCAUGCGUGAAGCACUGGGUUUGAUUCUCAGCACCA